AUUGAACGCUGGCGGCAGGCCUAACACAUGCAAGUCGAGCGGUAGAGAGAAGCUUGCUUCUCUUGAGAGCGGCGGACGGGUGAGUAAUGCCUAGGAAUCUGCCUGGUAGUGGGGGAUAACGUUCGGAAACGGACGCUAAUACCGCAUACGUCCUACGGGAGAAAGAAGGGGACCUUCGGGCCUUGCGCUAUCAGAUGAGCCUAGGUCGGAUUAGCUAGUUGGUGGGGUAAUGGCUCACCAAGGCGACGAUCCGUAACUGGUCUGAGAGGAUGAUCAUACACACUGGAACUGGGCCACGGUCCAGAGUCCUACGGGAGGCAGCAGUGGGGAAUAUUGGACAAUGGGCGAAAGCCUGAUCCAGCCAUGCCGCGUGUGUGAAGAAGGUCUUCGGAUUGUGAGGCACUUUAAGUUGGGAGGAAGGGCAGUAAAUUAAUACUUUGCUGUUUUGACGUUACCGACAGAAUAAGCACCGGCUAACUCUGUGCCAGCCGCCGCCGUAA
This 500-nucleotide ribosomal RNA is filed under the name uncultured bacterium. RNAcentral's name for it is "partial 16S ribosomal RNA". It matches the Rfam family "Bacterial small subunit ribosomal RNA", at positions 30 to 523 of the family's 1533-position model. The record is from RNAcentral.